Molecule: long non-coding RNA, 394 nt
Organism: Zonotrichia leucophrys gambelii
Lineage: Eukaryota; Metazoa; Chordata; Aves; Passeriformes; Passerellidae
Exons: 3
Source: RefSeq, a predicted model, not a curated record
AGGCCGGCACGGGAGUCACCCAUGUGACGGCAUUCAAUCCCAUGGGAUUGGGUAGAGAGGUGUGGCAGGACCUCCUGCAGGAUGGCAGGCUGGAUUCGCCCCCUGCUGGUCAUACCACUUUGGGGCUGUUCUGGACAAUUAGUGAUGCCAUGACACACUACGAGGAGUGGGAGAGGAAGAUCGAAGCGUGGCAGAAUCCCAUCCUGGAGAACAGCCAGCUGCCUCCCUGGUACAAGUCAGCCCUGUUCAAUGAGCUCUACUUCCUGACGGAUGGAGGGACCAUCUGGAUGGAGGUGCCCCCUGAUUGCCGUGCCGAGGAGCUGCAGGGGCCGGCAGGGGCAGGGCUGUCCCACCUCCUUCCUGUCCUGCGGGAGUACGGAAGGUUUGCUUAUUU